UGGGGAAUUUUGGACAAUGGGCGCAAGCCUGAUCCAGCAAUGCCGCGUGCAGGAUGAAGGCCUUCGGGUUGUAAACUGCUUUUGUACGGAACGAAACGGCUCUGGUUAAUACCUGGGGCUAAUGACGGUACCGUAAGAAUAAGCACCGGCUAACUACGUGCCAGCAGCCGCGGUAAUACGUAGGGUGCGAGCGUUAAUCGGAAUUACUGGGAGUAAAGCGUGCGCAGGCGGUGAUGUAAGACAGAUGUGAAAUCCCCGGGCUCAACCUGGGACCUGCAUUGGUGACGGUAUAGCUAGAGUACGGUAGAGGGGGAUGGAAUUCCGCGUGUAGCAGUGAAAUGCGUAGAUAUGCGGAGGAACACCGAUGGCGAAGGCAAUCCCCUGGACCUGUACUGACGCUCAUGCACGAAAGCGUGGGGAGCAAACA
Molecule: ribosomal RNA, 427 nt
Filed under: uncultured bacterium
Lineage: Bacteria
Description: bacterial SSU rRNA
Rfam family: Bacterial small subunit ribosomal RNA
Source: RNAcentral